RNAcentral lists this ribosomal RNA (340 nucleotides) under uncultured eukaryote. RNAcentral describes it as "partial 18S ribosomal RNA". It matches the Rfam family "Eukaryotic small subunit ribosomal RNA", at positions 1470 to 1796 of the family's 1831-position model. The record is from RNAcentral.
CCCUUAGAUGUUCGGGGCCGCACGCGCGCUACACUGAAGGACUCAGCGUGUCUCUCCCCCUAUCCCGAAAGGGAUGGGCAACCCGUUGAACCUCCUUCGUGCUAGGGAUUGGGGUUUGCAAUUAUCCCCCAUGAACGAGGAAUUCCCAGUAAGCGCGAGUCAUCAGCUCGCGUUGAUUACGUCCCUGCCCUUUGUACACACCGCCCGUCGCUACUACCGAUUGGAUGGUUUAGUGAGACCCUCGGAUCGGUCCCGACUCGGGGUGGGCUUCUGCCCCGGUCGUGGUUUCGCCGAGAAGACGGUCAAACUUGACUAUAUAGAGGAAGUAAAAGUCGUAACA